This 400-nucleotide ribosomal RNA is filed under the name uncultured bacterium. Its description in RNAcentral is "bacterial SSU rRNA". It matches the Rfam family "Bacterial small subunit ribosomal RNA", at positions 355 to 772 of the family's 1533-position model. The record is from RNAcentral.
UGGGGAAUAUUGGACAAUGGGGGAAACCCUGAUCCAGCAAUGCCGCGUGUAUGAAGAAGGUCUUCGGAUCGUAAAGUACUUUUAUAGGUGAAGAUGAUGACGGUAACCUAUGAAUAAGCUCCGGCUAACUUCGUGCCAGCAGCCGCGGUAAUACGAAGGGAGCUAGCGUUGUUCGGAAUAACUGGGCGUAAAGGGCGCGUAGGUGGGUAUAUGCGUUAGAUGUGAAAUCCCCGGGCUUAACCUGGGAGUGGCAUUUAAUACGGUAUAUCUGGAGUACGAGAGGGGAAAGCGGAAUGGCGAGUGGAGCAGUGAAAUGCAUAGAUAUUCGCUGGAACACCAGAGGCGAAGGCGGCUUUCUGGAUCGUUACUGACACUGAGGCGCGAAAGCGUGGGGAGCAAA